This 253-nucleotide ribosomal RNA is filed under the name uncultured bacterium. Its description in RNAcentral is "partial 16S ribosomal RNA". It matches the Rfam family "Bacterial small subunit ribosomal RNA", at positions 524 to 776 of the family's 1533-position model. The record is from RNAcentral.
UACGUAGGGCGCAAGCGUUGUCCGGAAUCAUUGGGCGUAAAGAGCUCGUAGGCGGUUUGUCACGUCGGCUGUGAAACCCUGGGGCUCAACCCCGGGCCUGCAGCCGAUACGGGCUGACUAGAAUUCGGUAGGGGAGUCUGGAAUUCCUGGUGUAGCGGUGAAAUGCGCAGAUAUCAGGAGGAGCACCAAUAGCGAAGGCAGCUCGCUGGGACGGUACUGACGCUAAGGCGCGAAAGCGUGGGGAGCGAACAGG